GAUGAAGAACGUAGCGAAAUGCGAUAAGUAAUGCGAAUUGCAGAAUUUCCGUGAGUCAUCGAAUCUUUGAACGCACAUUGCGCCCACUGGUAUUCCGGUGGGCAUGCCUGUUCGAGCGUCAUUAUCCUCCCUCAAACCUCGGGUUUGGUGUUGGACCCAAGUUGUGUGAACAACUGGUCUCAAAGACAAUGACGGCGUCCGCGGGACCCUCGGUGCAACGAGCUUUUAGGAGCACGCGUCGAGUUUCAAGGACCUUCCGGGCCGGUCUCCUUUACUAUUUUUACAAGGUUGACCUCGGAUCAGGUAGGAAUACCCGCUGAACUUAAGCAUAUCAAUAAGCGGAGGA
RNAcentral lists this unclassified non-coding RNA (346 nucleotides) under soil metagenome. RNAcentral's name for it is "partial contains 5.8S ribosomal RNA, internal transcribed spacer 2, and large subunit ribosomal RNA". The stretch from base 1 to 121 matches the Rfam family "5.8S ribosomal RNA", at positions 35 to 154 of the family's 154-position model. The record is from RNAcentral.